Molecule: long non-coding RNA, 1116 nt
Organism: Corvus moneduloides (New Caledonian crow)
Lineage: Eukaryota; Metazoa; Chordata; Aves; Passeriformes; Corvidae
Source: Ensembl
AUGGAACAGAAGGAGUGGAAUCAACCAGGCUCUCAGGGGAAGACUGAGCACGACCACCUCUCUCCCAUCUCCACUUUGAACCAGCUCUUUCCCAAAGUCCCUCCCCACCAUCCCGGCCCCUCCAGGCAAGUGUGGGCUGCCCGUUCCCAUUCCCGGUGCUCUCCAGGCUGCUCUGUGCCGCAGCGGGGCAGGGCGAGCUGUCAGCACCGAUCAGUCCCCGAGGACCAAAUCGGCCUUGACGUUUCUCCCGAGCGCUGCUCCCUGGCCUGCGGUUUUCCCAAGGGCAGAGCAGCGCUCGCUGUCAGGGCUGGGAGAGCCAAAGUGGGGCACAGGGGAGAUGAGGCACCCCCAGACCUUGCUGGGUGGACAGGGCAGCGUUGGAGCAGGAGCUGCUCCCUGCUCCAGGUGCGAUGGAGAAAUGCUGAUGUGCCAAAAAUGAGGACUGUGACCAGUAAAGCUGGGCUGAAACCUGUGAUUUGUUUUAAUUUAUUUCUUUUAGAAGUAGCCCCGCAGCCUGGGCUCUCCCUGUCCUCCAGAUAUCUCUGGUUCCCCGCCAGCUCCUGGGAGAGAGCCAAGUGUGUCAUGUCCCCACCUUUCCCUUGCCUUGGGCCUUGGGGACAGGGACAGCCCCUCCUGCCAUGCCGGGGGCCAAACGGGACUCGGCGCAUCCUCAGAGCCCCAGUGCCCAGGGCACUGCUCCGUGCUGGGGGUGGCAGGAGAGGAGAGAGACGGCGAGGAUGGACCCAGGUCUGUGCCCCCUGUCCCACGCCCCUGGAGGGGUCCCUGUGCCAGGGUGGGGGCUUUCCAUGGGCGCUGCAGAAGCCACGCUCCAGGUGGGAUCAUGGAAUCAGGGAAUGGUUUGGGUUGGAAGGGACAUUAAACGCCACCAUGUUCCAGGCUGGAGAGCCAGCUGUCCUGGGAGAGGCCGGGAUGGCUGCAGCCCAUCGGGGUGGCGGUUUCAGCUGGCUGGGGGAGCCCAUUCCCUGGCACUGCUGGCCCGGAGAGGGCUCCAGCUGGGAAAGGUGGGAGGCUGCACAGAGAACCUGCCACGGCAGGCUCCCACCUGUGCCCAGCUCGUGCCGGUGCCCACCUGGGCACCCCUGGGUGCUGAGGUGA